AUUGAACGCUGGCGGCAGGCUUAACACAUGCAAGUCGAACGGAAACGAUGGUAGUUUGUUACCAGGCGUCAAGUGGUGGACGGGUGAGUAACGCGUAGGAAUCUGCCCAGUAGUGGGGGACAACCAGGGGAAACCCUGGCUAAUACCGCAUACACUCUACGGAGAAAAGGAGGCCUCUUCAGGACCUUGCGCUAUUAGAUAAGCCUGCGUGGGAUUAGCUAGUUGGUGAGGUAAGAGCUCACCAAGGUGAUGAUCUCUAGCUGGUCUGAGAGGAUGAUCAGCCACACUGGGACUGAGAUAUGGCCCAGACUCCUACGGGAGGCAGCAGUGGGGAAUAUUGGACAAUGGGCGCAAGCCUGAUGCAGCCAUGCCGCGUGUGUGAAGAAGGCUUUCGGGUUGUAAAGCACUUUAAGUUGGGAGGAAAGGUUAAUGUUUAAUACGCUUUAGCUGUGACGUUACCUUCACAAGAAGCACCGGCUAACUCCGUGCCAGCAGCCGCGGUAAUACGGGGGGUGCAAGCGUUAAUCGGAUUUACUGGGCGUAAAGCGCGCGUAGGUGGUUUAGCAAGUUGGAUGUGAAAGCCCCGGGCUCAACCUGGGAAUUGCAUCCAAAACUGUCUAGCUAGAGUACGAUAGAGGGGGGAAGAAUUUCAGGUGUAGCGGUGAAAUGCGUAGAGAUCUGAAGGAAUACCAGUGGCGAAAGCGGCCCCCUUGAUUGAUACUGACACUGAGGUGCGAAAGCGUGGGUAGCAAAUAGGAUUAGAUACCCUGGGCCCUGGUAGUCCAUGCCGUAAACGAUGUCAACAGCCGUUGGAAGACUUGAUCUUUUAGUGGCGCAGCUAACGCAAUAAGUUGACCGCCUGGGGAGUACGGCCGCAAGGUUAAAACUCAAAUGAAUUGACGGGGGCCCGCACAAGCGGUGGAGCAUGUGGUUUAAUUCGAAGCAACGCGAAGAACCUUACCUACUCUUGACAUCCUCAGAACUUAACAGAGAUGCUUUGGUGCCUUCGGGAACUGAGUGACAGGUGCUGCAUGGCUGUCGUCAGCUCGUGUUGUGAAAUGUUGGGUUAAGUCCCGUAACGAGCGCAACCCUUGUCCUUAUUUGCCAGCACGUAAUGGUGGGAACUUUAAGGAGACUGCCGGUGACAAACCGGAGGAAGGUGGGGACGACGUCAAGUCAUCAUGGCCCUUAUGAGUAAGGCUACACACGUGCUACAAUGGCCGGUACAGAGGGCAGCAAGACCGCGAGGUGGAGCAAAUCCCAGAAAGCUGGUCGUAGUCCGGAUUGGAGUCUGCAACUCGACUCCAUGAAGUCGGAAUCGCUAGUAAUCGCGAAUCAGCUAGUCGCGGUGAAUACGUUCCCGGGCCUUGUACACACCGCCCGUCACACCAUGGGAGUGGAUUGCACCAGAAGUAGCUAGCUUAACCUUCGGGAGGGCGCUCAAACCACGGAGUGGUCAAUGACUGGGGUG
This 1471-nucleotide ribosomal RNA is filed under the name uncultured prokaryote. RNAcentral's name for it is "partial 16S ribosomal RNA". It matches the Rfam family "Bacterial small subunit ribosomal RNA". The record is from RNAcentral.